This 91-nucleotide transfer RNA is filed under the name Actinoallomurus iriomotensis. RNAcentral's name for it is "tRNA-Pyl". The record is from RNAcentral. Lineage: Bacteria; Bacillati; Actinomycetota; Actinomycetes; Streptosporangiales; Thermomonosporaceae.
GUAUCGUCUUGGCCAUAUUAGGACGUACACGUUCUAACUGUGUGUGACCCAUCUGUUCUGGAAGGUUGCCGUGCGACUCGUUGUUGGUAUG